This is a long non-coding RNA of Xyrauchen texanus (razorback sucker), 1511 nucleotides long. RefSeq lists it as uncharacterized. The transcript has 4 exons. The record is from RefSeq and is a predicted model, not a curated record. NCBI's taxonomy places the organism in Eukaryota, Metazoa, Chordata, Actinopteri, Cypriniformes, Catostomidae.
AUGGGUUUAACAAGGUUUAGGGGAGAAUAUAGGCUGAAUAGGCACUCUUUGAGAUCCAGAUUGUGUUCGUCAGUAGAGUGGCGAUAUGCGAGUCGCCAAAUUAAGCAUGCAUGCAAGCGAAGAAUCAGUCCACAGACGCGAGUUAUACCUUCUACUGUCUGGAGUUUACUCUAUCAACGCGUGGCAGCCUUUAUGGUGGAAGCAUUCACCUUUGAUGUGCAAAAGGUUGAGAAGCAGGCUUGGUUUGGAAACUGCUCUACAAUGUCCAAUGGGUGGCUCAAGAAGGGAGACAUUUGGAUGUCCUCAGUCUCCUGACGUCUGGUCACUUCAACACAAUGUGUCAUUGGUGCGUACAGUGAGGUUGUCCACCUCUGGGUCUUCAUCUGUUGCAAAAGAUUUCCUCAUUUGGCUGGUUUGGAAGGACCGAGUGUCAGCAUUACAGGAAAGGCACAGAUGGCUGAAAGCUGGUUAAUGACACAAGUGUCUAUAUGCAUUAAUCAGUGUCAUAGUUGAAUAGGGCAUAUACAUACUCAAUCCAACACACACACACGUGUGAGCACAACAGAUAAACAGGAUAUCUGACAAGGAAGAGCAGAAGGGGUUUUACUUAAUUUCUUUACCAGAGGCAGAUGAAAUACAACACAAGUACCAGAGUUUAGUUAAACAUGAACGUUUCUGAGUGUCUAUGGAAAAGUGCAAAACCAAACUAACUGGCUAUGUAGGUCUAUGUAGGACACAUGCUGAAUAAAUUCUUGAAACUGCGAAUAAUAAGUAGGGAUAAUGUAGAGCAAGGCGGUUGUUAUAGCGAAUACAACCCCGACAGGCUGAUCAGGAGGAAGCGGAGGGGUCUUGAAUCAGCCUGAAGGGGUUGUAUUCACUAUAACAACUGCCUCGCUCUACAUUAUCCCGCUUAUUACAUGGCUACCUACCAAAUAAAUAAAUAAUUUGACACAAAAUAUUGAUUUAAAAAGGAGUUUAUUGAUUUAAAAACGAUUGUAUAGCUUCUGCUAAAGAAAAUAGUCUGUUCCGUCUCUACGGUUAGAAUCCUGCGUGUCCAUGGCAACGUUCUGCUUUGCAUGGCAACGGUGUGUUAUCCUUAGAGUAAAUUUUAUAUAGGUUUAUUACAAGCCAUGUAAUAAACCUAUAUAAAAUGUACUCUAUAUUACAAGUGACAAAACAUUUUUAUAGGAAUAGUGCAACCAAAAUGGAAAUUCGUUCAUUAUUUACUUCCCAUGUCACUCCAAACAUGUAUGCCUCUGUUUCAUGGAACACAACACAGUGAGAAGAUCGACAAAGCCCUUAAGACCACCAUAGAGUAAAAGCUGUAAUAAUUUAUCAGUUAAUUAUUAUAAUUUUUUUUUUUUAUUAAUUACUUUUAAUAUCUAAAUAAUUGCCAAGUGAAAUCAACAUUACAGUGUCAUGCAACAUUUAAUGCUGUAACAAAACUUUCUGUUCCAUUUGUUCCUGUUUUAAUAAAACUUUUAAAGCCUGUUGUGUAGUUGUAUUGUCAU